RNAcentral lists this ribosomal RNA (607 nucleotides) under uncultured bacterium. RNAcentral describes it as "bacterial SSU rRNA". It matches the Rfam family "Bacterial small subunit ribosomal RNA", at positions 265 to 889 of the family's 1533-position model. The record is from RNAcentral.
CUACCAAGCCAACGAUCAGUAGCCGACCUGAGAGGGUGACCGGCCACAUUGGGACUGAGACACGGCCCAAACUCCUACGGGAGGCAGCAGUGGGGAAUAUUGCACAAUGGGGGAAACCCUGAUGCAGCGACGCCGCGUGAGCGAAGAAGUAUUUCGGUAUGUAAAGCUCUAUCAGCAGGGAAGAAAAUGACGGUACCUGACUAAGAAGCACCGGCUAAAUACGUGCCAGCAGCCGCGGUAAUACGUAUGGUGCAAGCGUUAUCCGGAUUUACUGGGUGUAAAGGGAGCGUAGACGGCUGUGUAAGUCUGAAGUGAAAGCCCGGGGCUCAACCCCGGGACUGCUUUGGAAACUAUGCAGCUAGAGUGUCGGAGAGGUAAGUGGAAUUCCCAGUGUAGCGGUGAAAUGCGUAGAUAUUGGGAGGAACACCAGUGGCGAAGGCGGCUUACUGGACGAUGACUGACGUUGAGGCUCGAAAGCGUGGGGAGCAAACAGGAUUAGAUACCCUGGUAGUCCACGCCGUAAACGAUGACUACUAGGUGUCGGGGAGCAAAGCUCUUCGGUGCCGCAGCAAACGCAAGAAGUAGUCCACCUGGGGAGCACGUUAUA